GGCAUGGAGACUUCACAACCGUUCAAGAGCCAUUAAUUCAAUUCCAGAUUACAAUACACAAUGGAUAAGAAUUCAUGUUGUAGCAGGAAUCUAUAGGUUUGUUUAAUUAGCAUUCUAGUUAUAUGUACUUAGAUUAUGCCAGCAAUAUUAUUUUAUCAGCUUAUGUUAGUUUUGGUUUCUUAAGGCUUUUUUAUUACUAAAUCACACAAAACUUUAACA
Molecule: long non-coding RNA, 219 nt
Filed under: Elaeis guineensis (African oil palm)
Lineage: Eukaryota; Viridiplantae; Streptophyta; Magnoliopsida; Arecales; Arecaceae
Description: long non-coding RNA (EGUI_LNC027416)
Source: RNAcentral